Molecule: ribosomal RNA, 253 nt
Filed under: uncultured bacterium
Lineage: Bacteria
Description: partial 16S ribosomal RNA
Rfam family: Bacterial small subunit ribosomal RNA
Source: RNAcentral
UACGGGGGGGGCAAGCGUUGUUCGGAAUUACUGGGCGUAAAGGGCUCGUAGGUGGCCAACUAAGUCAGACGUGAAAUCCCUCGGCUUAAUCGGGGAACUGCGUCUGAUACUGGAUGGCUUGAGUUUGGGAGAGGGAUGCGGAAUUCCAGGUGUAGCGGUGAAAUGCGUAGAUAUCUGGAGGAACACCGGUGGCGAAGGCGGCAUCCUGGACCAACACUGACACUGAGGAGCGAAAGCCAGGGGAGCAAACGGG